CCCGGCCCCGCGCGCAGUCCAGAGGCCCCGCGUGUGUGCCCUCGCCCUGCCGGAGCCGGGAAAAUGGAGGCUGUGAUUGAGAAGGAAUGCAGCGCGCUCGGAGGCCUCUUCCAGACCAUCAUCAGCGACAUGAAGGGGAGCUAUCCAGUUUGGGAAGAUUUCAUAAACAAAGCAGGAAAGCUGCAGUCCCAGCUUCGGACAACAGUAGUAGCAGCAGCUGCCUUCUUGGACGCCUUUCAGAAAGUGGCUGACAUGGCCACCAACACACGUGGUAAGCAGAUGGAGGCUGACUCCCAGCGUUAACUGCAUUCAGCACGUGGGCUCUUCCCCUUGGGUGGCUGCACAAGAAGAUGCAGCUUAAGUUAUCAGAGCUGAGCUGACUUGUAUUUUCCCAUUUUUUAAAACUCUGUGGGAUUCCACAUAUUAGAAGUUGCAGCUAGUUUUCCGGAUAAUAAAGCACAUGUGAAGAAGAAUGAAAAAGGAAGAAAAUGAACCACCGUUUCUGCACGAGUUGGCUUGAUGGUUUCUUUGAUCACUUUAAUGACGUGCUGGUUGUUGAACCUUGAGCUGUGCCUUUGGUUGCAAUUUGCGUUUUCCUCCUUACGUGGGUUUUCCUUGUUUCCUCGUGGAAUGGGAACCAGUAGGGAUGAUUGGAUAGACCAUUUUUCUGAGUUUCCAUAAAAUGAGGAACCUUUUAAAAUAAGGA
This 706-nucleotide small RNA is filed under the name Pongo abelii (Sumatran orangutan). Its description in RNAcentral is "retained intron". Lineage: Eukaryota; Metazoa; Chordata; Mammalia; Primates; Hominidae. The record is from RNAcentral.